RNAcentral lists this ribosomal RNA (253 nucleotides) under uncultured bacterium. RNAcentral describes it as "partial 16S ribosomal RNA". It matches the Rfam family "Bacterial small subunit ribosomal RNA", at positions 524 to 776 of the family's 1533-position model. The record is from RNAcentral.
GACAGAGGUGCCGAGCGUUAGGCGGAAUCACUGGGCUUAAAGCGUGUGUAGGCGGGCGGGCAAGUACCUUGUGAAAUCCCACGGCUCAACCGUGGAACUGCUGGGUAUACUGCCUGUCUUGAGCCAGCUAGGGGCGAGCGGAACAGACGGUGGAGCGGUGAAAUGCGUAGAUAUCGUCUGGAACGCCGAAGGUGAAAACAGCUCGCUGGGGCUGUGCUGACGCUGAGACACGAAAGCCAGGGGAGCGAACGGG